RNAcentral lists this ribosomal RNA (540 nucleotides) under uncultured bacterium. RNAcentral describes it as "bacterial SSU rRNA". It matches the Rfam family "Bacterial small subunit ribosomal RNA", at positions 355 to 895 of the family's 1533-position model. The record is from RNAcentral.
UGAGGAAUAUUGGUCAAUGGGCGAAAGCCUGAACCAGCCAAGUAGCGUGCAGGAUGACGGCCCUAUGGGUUGUAAACUGCUUUUACAGGGGAAUAAAGUGAUUCACGUGUGUUUCAUUGCAUGUACCCUGCGAAUAAGGACCGGCUAAUUCCGUGCCCCAGCAGCCGCGGUAAUACGGAAGGUCCUGGUGUUAUCCGGAUUUAUUGGGUUUAAAGGGAGCGUAGGCCGCAGAUUAAGUGUGUUGUGAAAUUCAGGCGCCCAACGUCUGACUUGCAGCGCAAACUGGUCUGCUUGAGUUCGCGCAACGCAGGCGGAAUUCGUCGUGUAGCGGUGAAAUGCUUAGAUAUGACGAAGAACUCCGAUUGCGAAGGCAGCUUGCGGGAGCGUUACUGACGCUUAAGCUCGAAGGUGCGGGUAUCAAACAGGAUUAGAUACCCUGGUAGUCCGCACAGUAAACGAUGGAUGCCCGCUGUUGGUACCUGGUAUCAGCGGCUAAGCGAAAGCAUUAAGCAUCCCACCUGGGGAGUACGCCGGNNCGGU